UGCUCACUCAACCAAGAGUACAGAGAAAGAUAGAUCUGCGCCUGUUUACAUUUCUCAGCCAUUGAUAUGUUCAAUAAUAUACAUAUACUUUAAAAGACUCCUAAAGGAAAUAUGAUGGCUUUUAGUAUUAAAAGUGGAAGAAAAUUACAGGUAAUUAUCUUUGACGGUAAAAAAGCUGUAAUCAGCGGGCUACAUCAAAAAUUACCCUAAUUAUGCCUACAUUUACGAGAAAGGGGAAAAAACCUUCUUGUGGAUAAAAACCAUAAAUUGUCCUAAAUAUCAGCUUCAGAAUGGACAGGGCUGCAGCUGGAUGCUUUGUUCGGAAUUAAUCCUGUGGAGCCUGGCAUUCAGUAUUUCACAGUGAGAGGGGAAAAAAGAGAAAAGAAAAACAGUUUGUCAAUACUGUACUGCAACGAGUGUGCUAGAAAAUGACAAGAUUGACUGGCCAUGAAGCACCAAAGACCGAACACAAGAUUAGUAUAGAUAGGAGAACAUCAGCCAGGUUGGCCGCAGUGAAAGAUGGUCAGAGAAGUCACAUUCAGAACCCGCAGAGCCAUCCUGGUGCUAUUAGACUUGUGCUAAUAAUAGGUGUUUCAUCGCAGGAAGAUCAAUCAUGUUGAAUUUUCCAAGGGAUGGCUUUAGAUCCACAUGUGUCCCAAUGGAUCAAAUUACACUCUUUUUAGCUGCAUUACUUUGAAAUUGGUUGCCCUUUUUUUUAUAUAUGUGUCAAUGGACAUCUAAACUGAUUUUUUGUUUCAAUCUCUUGUCAGCUGAAUAUGUAAAGAUUUGAAAAUGCAUGUAUUUUACUGUAUUAUGUAUGCAUUUUAUUGCCAUCCAAACUCAAAUGUAGGUUAUUCAACAAUAAACCACAAUGCUGAUUCCA
Acipenser ruthenus (sterlet) is the source of this 883-nucleotide long non-coding RNA. RefSeq lists it as uncharacterized. The transcript is spliced from 3 exons. The record is from RefSeq and is a predicted model, not a curated record. Lineage: Eukaryota; Metazoa; Chordata; Actinopteri; Acipenseriformes; Acipenseridae.